CCUGUGCUUUUUUGAACCGUAGGGAGGUUCAGGAACAAGAGCUGGGCAAGACCGGUGCCAGCCCGCCGCGGUAAUACCGGCAGCUCGAGUGAUGGCCGAUCUUAUUGGGCCUAAAGCGUCCGUAGCUGGCCUUGCAAGUCCGUCGGGAAAUCCACCCGCUCAACGGGUGGGCGUCCGGCGGAAACUGUGAGGCUUGGGACCGGGAGGCUUGAAGGGUACGUCCGGGGUAGGAGUGAAAUCCUGUAAUCCUGGACGGACCGCCGAUGGGGAAACCACUUCAAGAGAACGGAUCCGACAGUGAGGGACGAAAGCUAGGGUCUCGAACCGGAUUAGAUACCCGGGUAGUCCUAGCUGUAAACGAUGCCUGUUAGGUGUGACUCCCACUACGAGUGGGUGUUGUGCCGUAGGGAAGCCGCUAAACAGGCCGCCUGGGAAGUACGUCUGCAAGGAUGAAACUUAAAGGAAUUGGCGGGGGAGCACUACAACCGGAGGAGCCUGCGGUUUAAUUGGACUCAACGCCGGACAUCUCACCAGCAUCGACUGUGGUAAUGACGGUCAGGUUGAUGACCUUACCCGGGCCACAGAGAGGAGGUGCAUGGCCGCCGUCAGCUCGUACCGUGAGGCGUCCUGUUAAGUCAGGCAACGAGCGAGACCCGCAUCCUUACUUGCCAGCAGCACCGCGAGGUGGCUGGGGACAGUAGGGAGACCGCCGUGGCUAACACGGAGGAAGGAACGGGCAACGGUAGGUCAGUAUGCCCCGAAUAUGCUGGGCAACACGCGGGCUACAAUGGUCGAGACAAUGGGUUCCAACGCCGAGAGGCGACGGUAAUCUCAGAAACUCGGUCGUAG
This 849-nucleotide ribosomal RNA is filed under the name uncultured archaeon. RNAcentral describes it as "bacterial SSU rRNA". It matches the Rfam family "Archaeal small subunit ribosomal RNA", at positions 401 to 1247 of the family's 1478-position model. The record is from RNAcentral.